CCCGCUGGGCACAGAGCAGGAGGAGAGGGUGGAGGGGAGCCUGAAGGGAACAGGAGUGUCCUUCCUUCCAGGGCAGGAGGAGUGUCCUUCUCCGUGUCCUCCCGCCCUGGAGAAAAGAGGAAUCACAGCACACACUUGCCUUGGAACACAACACGGCCAUCAGAAGAAGUAUAGACCUACAAACAACGUCAUUGGGUCUUAAAAUCUGGUGCUGAGUUAAAAAAAGACAACAAAGACACAAGAUGGAGAGCCCACCAUGUGCACACGUUUAAAUGCUCAUGUACACGAAGCCAAAUCUUCUCAAAGAUUCGCGGGACAUCCGAGGCACCAACCAGAAGGAGGGCCGUGGGAGCAGGGACUGGAGAUCUGUGAGGGAAAGAUGAAGAGCAAUAAAACAAGAGAGCCCCCCAGGACUGAGCAAUGAGCAGCGUAGGAUCGACUCAGUGCCUCGCCUGGAGGACAGUGACAGACUCCCUGAAUCCUGCUCCCCAGACACCCACUUGUUGGAGACCUCAUACCUCCCUCCAGCCCCGGCUGCCUCUGAGGGGAUUGCUGACCACCCCACCCCCUACGAGACUUGUUGGGUUGCCUCGAAGGCUUGGGCCCACCCGCAUGACUUCUGCAGGCCUGCCUGGUGCUCAGCACACAUCCUCUUUACCGAUCCUGGAGGCUGCUGAAAGGGGCUCUUUUCCAUCCUCGACUCUGGAAGUUCUCAUACACACCCAGCCCACCGUGCCUGGAUCUCCAAAUUUUGUUGAAAUUUCGUUCAACUGCCCACGAUGGGGCAGGGGGGAGUCCAUAGUGACUCAUUUUCCCCAUCUGCUGAGAUGGCUUUUGACAAAUGAAGCCCAGCCAGAUGCUCCUGUGGGACCGAGAGACUGUCCACCUCAGAAGCGAGACCUUGGCUUCCAGGCCAGGAGCACCUCCCAUGUGGAUCUUCAGACUCUCAUCCACCACUACCGUGAUGCAAUUCGAACCACCUGGAAUGAGCACGGAGUCCACAGGGCAAGACUGCCCCCACGUCCGUCACCAGCCACAGGCUCAGGGACCCCCAGGCCACGUGCAAUUCUGACCCACCGGCCACAAAUCUGGAGGGGGGGUUCAUGA
RNAcentral lists this long non-coding RNA (1107 nucleotides) under Felis catus (domestic cat). RNAcentral's name for it is "lncRNA (ENSFCAG00000049081.1)". Lineage: Eukaryota; Metazoa; Chordata; Mammalia; Carnivora; Felidae. The record is from RNAcentral.